CUACGGGCCGCAGCAGUGGGGAAUCUUAGACAAUGGGGGAAACCCUGAUCUAGCCAUGCCGCGUGAGUGAUGAAGGCCUUAGGGUCGUAAAGCUCUUUCGCCAGGGAUGAUAAUGACAGUACCUGGUAAAGAAACCCCGGCUAACUCCGUGCCAGCAGCCGCGGUAAUACGGAGGGGGUUAGCGUUGUUCGGAAUUACUGGGCGUAAAGCGCGCGUAGGCGGAUUAGAAAGUUGGGGGUGAAAUCCCGGGGCUCAACCCCGGAACUGCCUCCAAAACUACUAGUCUAGAGUUCGAGAGAGGUGAGUGGAAUUCCGAGUGUAGAGGUGAAAUUCGUAGAUAUUCGGAGGAACACCAGUGGCGAAGGCGGCUCACUGGCUCGAUACUGACGCUGAGGUGCGAAAGUGUGGGGAGCAAACAGGAUUAGAUACCCGGGUAGUC
Molecule: ribosomal RNA, 439 nt
Filed under: uncultured bacterium
Lineage: Bacteria
Description: partial 16S ribosomal RNA
Rfam family: Bacterial small subunit ribosomal RNA
Source: RNAcentral